Molecule: long non-coding RNA, 992 nt
Organism: Carya illinoinensis
Lineage: Eukaryota; Viridiplantae; Streptophyta; Magnoliopsida; Fagales; Juglandaceae
Exons: 3
Source: RefSeq, a predicted model, not a curated record
ACAGGUGCAGUUGAAUUUGAUGGAGCCACCACAUGAUGGAUACUAUGUUAGUCAACAUAGCAUGCAGGGCCUGGGACAAUUGAAUUCAAUAGCACCCAGCCAUGAUGGUUUUUUUGGCUCUCAACAAAGCAUUCACAGGCUGGUAUAGUAUCACAUUGUAUUUGUAGAGAAUUUUGGCCAUGUAAGUAUUAUUUAUGUGAUGAAACUUCCUCAAUCAUGAUUUCAUUCAUACAGGGACAAUUGGAUUUUUGUCUGACAUCAAAUUUCAGUUAUAGCCUUCAGGAUCAGCCCCAUUUAAGAUCUGCACAGUUGCACGAUCACGAUAGUGCUUCAAGGCAUGCAUGAGGAAGAACAAGAUCCCUAGAAUGUCAGUUGCCCUGUGGUGGCGACUAAAUUUAUAUCCACUGUCAUGCUGGGUAAUCAGAAAGGUGAGGAAGUGGUUCCAGAAACUCUUUUUGCCUUGGUUUCUGCAUCUGGAAGAACAUUCGUACUCAAAAGAGUUGAUGCGAUAAUUUCCAGGUUAAAGGUAAGAGCUCCUGUCUACAUGGGAUUACCUUGCAGAAUUAAGGCUGGUUAUAUUAAUCCUGCAGAACAGACAAAAGCAUAGAAAAAUAAUCAGAUUUUUUUGCAUCAUGGUUUAGCUAGUAUAGGUAUCAAAUGCUUGCAAGCCAUGAGAAGAAUCGAAGUGGCUGACGGGUUGAAAAGAUUUCGAUAUGGCCCUGUGGAACAAUAUAAAGAAUGCAAUUUUUCUUGCACAUCAUUCUUCAUAGAAUCAAUGGAAGAGACUCUUCCUCUGUAAAUGCUCUUUGUAUCAUUACUUAAAUUGAUAUAGAGUUGUGGGUUAGAUCUGUUCCGCUGAAUGUGUAUGCUUAUUGCGUAUGUAUGUAUGUGGUGGCACGGGCGUAAAAGAGUCCAAAAGUUGGAAGUAUUGAAUGUUUGAUUUGAUGUGUUUAAUUAAUGAGUCGGAUUAUAUAUAGUUUAUUCAUAGACAA